This 27-nucleotide non-coding RNA is filed under the name Macaca fascicularis (crab-eating macaque). The record is from RNAcentral. Lineage: Eukaryota; Metazoa; Chordata; Mammalia; Primates; Cercopithecidae. RNAcentral also lists the same sequence under 1 other name.
UGGUGCUGGUCCCUUCCACUGGAACAC